UAUAUAACUGCGUACUAUUGCUCGGUGCCGCCCGCUUAUCUAAAUGAAACGAAAUUGCAUUUUUGUUUAUUUUAGGUUUGUCAUAAGUUUCAAGUAUCCGACUGUGAAAAUUACUAAGAAAAAACUCUUGAAUAAGAAGAAGUGGCUCCAGAGGGCGUGACAGGUACUUUGGUCCACUCCGAGAAGCCAGCCUCCCGGUACCAUAUCGUGUAGUCCUGCUUAUAGUCCGGCCCGCCCGCGUACCCCGGCUGCCAGCGUAGAGUUACCUGCAACAGUGUGACGGACCCUAGUAAGAAGAUUUCUGUGACAUCUUCUUACACAUGAUAAGACGGUCAAGGGGAAGAGUGCAGGCCGUCGGAAGCAGCUAUUGG
Molecule: long non-coding RNA, 371 nt
Organism: Leptidea sinapis
Lineage: Eukaryota; Metazoa; Arthropoda; Insecta; Lepidoptera; Pieridae
Exons: 3
Source: RefSeq, a predicted model, not a curated record